This 540-nucleotide ribosomal RNA is filed under the name Brucella anthropi. RNAcentral describes it as "bacterial SSU rRNA". It matches the Rfam family "Bacterial small subunit ribosomal RNA", at positions 65 to 653 of the family's 1533-position model. Lineage: Bacteria; Pseudomonadati; Pseudomonadota; Alphaproteobacteria; Hyphomicrobiales; Brucellaceae. The record is from RNAcentral.
AGCGCCCCGCAAGGGGAGCGGCAGACGGGUGAGUAACGCGUGGGAACGUACCUUUUGCUACGGAAUAACUCAGGGAAACUUGUGCUAAUACCGUAUGUGCCCUUCGGGGGAAAGAUUUAUCGGCAAAGGAUCGGCCCGCGUUGGAUUAGCUAGUUGGUGAGGUAAAGGCUCACCAAGGCGACGAUCCAUAGCUGGUCUGAGAGGAUGAUCAGCCACACUGGGACUGAGACACGGCCCAGACUCCUACGGGAGGCAGCAGUGGGGAAUAUUGGACAAUGGGCGCAAGCCUGAUCCAGCCAUGCCGCGUGAGUGAUGAAGGCCCUAGGGUUGUAAAGCUCUUUCACCGGUGAAGAUAAUGACGGUAACCGGAGAAGAAGCCCCGGCUAACUUCGUGCCAGCAGCCGCGGUAAUACGAAGGGGGCUAGCGUUGUUCGGAUUUACUGGGCGUAAAGCGCACGUAGGCGGACUUUUAAGUCAGGGGUGAAAUCCCGGGGCUCAACCCCGGAACUGCCUUUGAUACUGGAAGUCUUGAGUAUGGUA